RNAcentral lists this long non-coding RNA (602 nucleotides) under Homo sapiens (human). The record is from RNAcentral. Lineage: Eukaryota; Metazoa; Chordata; Mammalia; Primates; Hominidae.
UGAGUAGGAUAAUUCCAUUCUGAAGUCAUUCUUCUCCAUGUCAAACAUCUCACACAGGUUUGGACUCUGUUGUGGGUUAGUGUGAUUUCCAUGUAAUUUCUCAUGUCUUCUGUGGUUUUCCUGGGAAUCUAACAUCAUUAAUCUUCUUUAUAUUAAAGGCUAUAAAUUAUUUUCCAUCUGAAAAAAGAGUUUUAUUCAGUGAUCUUUAUAAUCUUGUCAUGUAAAACAUAUCCAAAAUUUAUACAACCACCUAUUAUUGUUGGAGAAUUAAAAGAAAUUUCCACCACUGCUUUUCUUAAUUACUUCAUACUAUAGCUAAAAAGAGAAAUCAAAUAAAACAAUAAAUCCCUGAAAAAUAAAUUAAUUAUAAAUGUGACAACUGAAAUGAGUAACUGAGUGAUAAGUUGCAAUCAUCAAAAUUUAUUAAACUACUUUAGGGUGUAUCCAGAAAAAACAUGAGCCACAGGCGCAUCUUUGUUUUUCCACAUAGGUUUUCAGGAGAUUUAGUAUUUAUACAUUUCUUGAAAGGAGCAGGAGGGAUGAAUAUAGGACAAGAGGCAUGGAGGUGGUCAGGUGAACACUACAUUUUAUGUAAGAUGUGU